RNAcentral lists this ribosomal RNA (435 nucleotides) under uncultured Oscillospiraceae bacterium. RNAcentral's name for it is "bacterial SSU rRNA". It matches the Rfam family "Bacterial small subunit ribosomal RNA", at positions 341 to 792 of the family's 1533-position model. The record is from RNAcentral. Lineage: Bacteria; Bacillati; Bacillota; Clostridia; Eubacteriales; Oscillospiraceae.
ACGGGAGGCAGCAGUCGGGAAUAUUGCGCAAUGGAGGAAACUCUGACGCAGUGACGCCGCGUAUAGGAAGAAGGUUUUCGGAUUGUAAACUAUUGUCAUUAGGGAAGAUAAAAGACUGUACCUAAAGAGGAAGCUCCGGCUAACUACGUGCCAGCAGCCGCGGUAAUACGUAGGGAGCAAGCGUUAUCCGGAUUUAUUGGGUGUAAAGGGUGCGUAGACGGGAAAACAAGUUAGUUGUGAAAUCCCUCGGCUUAACUGAGGAACUGCAACUAAAACUAUUUUUCUUGAGUGUCGGAGAGGAAAGUGGAAUUCCUAGUGUAGCGGUGAAAUGCGUAGAUAUUAGGAGGAACACCGGUGGCGAAGGCGGCCUGCUGGACUGUAACUGACGCUGAGGCUCGAAGGCGUGGGGAGCAAACAGGAUUAGAUACCCUGGUA